RNAcentral lists this transfer RNA (58 nucleotides) under Canis lupus familiaris (dog). It matches the Rfam family "tRNA", at positions 8 to 63 of the family's 71-position model. Rfam says of the family: Transfer RNA (tRNA) molecules are approximately 80 nucleotides in length. Their secondary structure includes four short double-helical elements and three loops (D, anti-codon, and T loops). RNAcentral also lists the same sequence under 3 other names. The record is from Rfam by way of RNAcentral. Lineage: Eukaryota; Metazoa; Chordata; Mammalia; Carnivora; Canidae.
UGGCUCAGUCGGUAGAGCACAAGACUCUUAAUCUUGGGGUUGUGAGUUUCAGUCCCAU